Acanthosepion pharaonis is the source of this 113-nucleotide non-coding RNA. Lineage: Eukaryota; Metazoa; Mollusca; Cephalopoda; Sepiida; Sepiidae. The record is from the annotation of a GenBank genome assembly.
UACAACCAUAUCAUAUUGAAACACUGGUUCUCAUACAAUCACAGAAGUUAAGCAAUAUUGAGCCUGGUCAGUACUGAGGUGGGUGAGUAUUUGGGAAAAUCAGGUGCUGUAAG